UACGUAGGGGGCUAGCGUUGUCCGGAUUUAUUGGGCGUAAAGAGCGUGUAGGCGGCCAGGUAGGUCUGCUGUGAAAACUCGAGGCUCAACCUCGAGACGUCGGCGGAAACCAUCUGGCUAGAGUCCGGAAGUGGAGAGUGGAAUUCCUGGUGUAGCGGUGAAAUGCGCAGAUAUCAGGAAGAACACCCGUGGCGAAGGCGGCUCUCUGGGACGGUACUGACGCUGAGACGCGAAAGCGUGGGGAGCGAACAGG
This 253-nucleotide ribosomal RNA is filed under the name uncultured bacterium. RNAcentral describes it as "partial 16S ribosomal RNA". It matches the Rfam family "Bacterial small subunit ribosomal RNA", at positions 524 to 776 of the family's 1533-position model. The record is from RNAcentral.